AACGAACGCUGGCGGCGUGCCUAACACAUGCAAGUCGAGCGCGAAUGGAGCAAUCCUAGUAGAGCGGCGCACGGGUGCGUAACACGUGGAUAAUCUGCCUGGGUGUCUGGGAUAACCAGUCGAAAGACUGGCUAAUACCGGAUAAGACCACGGUCUCUUCGGAGGCUGUGAGAAAAGGUGGCCUCUGUAUACAAGCUAUCACAUCCAGAUGAGUCCGCGGCCCAUCAGCUAGUUGGCGGGGUAAUGGCCCACCAAGGCGACGACGGGUAGCUGGUCUGGGAGGACGAUCAGCCACACUGGAACUGAGACACGGUCCAGACUCCUACGGGAGGCAGCAGUGGGGAAUUUUGCGCAAAUGGGCG
Molecule: ribosomal RNA, 362 nt
Filed under: uncultured bacterium
Lineage: Bacteria
Description: bacterial SSU rRNA
Rfam family: Bacterial small subunit ribosomal RNA
Source: RNAcentral